GACGAACGCUGGCGGCGUGCUUAACACAUGCAAGUCAAACGAUGAAGUUCCUUCGGGAAUGGAUUAGUGGCGAACGGGUGAGGAACACGUGAGAAACCUGCCUUUCAUUUUUGGGAUAACUCCGGGAAACCGGGGCUAAAACCGAAUACUCCGUCUCGGCGGCAUCGCUGAGCCGGGAAAAAAUUUUGAUGAAAGAUGGUCUCGCGGCCUAUCAGCUAGUUGGUGAGGUAAUGGCUCACCAAGGCAACGACGGGUAGCCGGCCUGAGAGGGCGACCGGCCACACUGGGACUGAGACACGGCCCAGACUCCGACGGGAGGCAGCAGUGGGGAAUAUUGGGCAAUGGGCGCAAGCCUGACCCAGCGACGCCGCGUGAGGGAUGAAGGCCUUCGGGUUGUAAACCUCUUUCAGUAGGGAAGAAGCGAAAGUGACGGUACCUAAAGAAGAAGCACCGGCUAACUAUGUGCCAGCCGCCGCCGUAA
Molecule: ribosomal RNA, 481 nt
Filed under: uncultured bacterium
Lineage: Bacteria
Description: partial 16S ribosomal RNA
Rfam family: Bacterial small subunit ribosomal RNA
Source: RNAcentral